AUUGAACGCUGGCGGAAUGCUUUACACAUGCAAGUCGAGCGGCAGCACGGGGGCAACCCUGGUGGCGAGCGGCGAACGGGUGAGUAAUACAUCGGAACAUGCCCAGUCGUGGGGGAUAACACUUCGAAAGAAGUGCUAAUACCGCAUACGUCCUGAGGGGGAAAGCGGGGAUCGCAAGACCUCGCGCGAUUGGAGUGGCCGAUGUCAGAUUAGCUAGUUGGUGGGGUAAAGGCCUACCAAGGCAACGAUCUGUAGCUGGUCUGAGAGGAUGAUCAGCCACACUGGGACUGAGACACGGCCCAGACUCCUACGGGAGGCAGCAGUGGGGAAUUUUGGACAAUGGGGGCAACCCUGAUCCAGCCAUUCCGCGUGAGUGAAGAAGGCCCUCGGGUUGUAAAGCUCUUUCGGCAGGAACGAAACGGUGAGCUCUAACAUAGCUUGCUAAUGACGGUACCUGAAGAAGAAGCACCGGCUAACUACGUG
Molecule: ribosomal RNA, 483 nt
Filed under: uncultured bacterium
Lineage: Bacteria
Description: partial 16S ribosomal RNA
Rfam family: Bacterial small subunit ribosomal RNA
Source: RNAcentral